Long non-coding RNA from Panicum virgatum (switchgrass), 1878 nucleotides. RefSeq lists it as uncharacterized. The record is from RefSeq and is a predicted model, not a curated record. The transcript has 8 exons. NCBI's taxonomy places the organism in Eukaryota, Viridiplantae, Streptophyta, Magnoliopsida, Poales, Poaceae.
GGCCCGCCCACCACCUCCCCACCACCACUGCCACCGAACGUCCGAACCCGCGCCCAGACCCCGAUGCCGCACCACCGUAACCGCCCAGCUCGGAUCCUUACCGUCGCCGCUCCUUCUUCCCGAGACUCGCCCCCAAUCCCGGCGCCCAGCUCGGAUUCGCGCCCCCAAUCCCGGCACGCAGUCGCCGCUCCCUCAUCCAGAGAGACCCCAAUCCCGGCGCCCAGCUCGGAUCCUGACGGCGCCGAAGCAACCUGCCAUCGGCGCUCCUUCAUCCCCCAGACGCGUCCCCAACCCCGGCGCCGCACCACCCCCAUCCCGGCGCGUCUCGGCCUCCCGUCGGCGACCCUCGCACCGUCCCGGCGAAGUGCUGAACGGCCGGUUGCCGUCAGCCCUUCUCCCCCGGCGAGCUGCAGCAUCCGUCCCGGCGAGCUGCAGCAUCCGUCCAGCGCAAUUGAUCUAAGGGCGAGAUACUUAUAGUUCAUUCUUUCUAUUACUGGAUUCAUUCUGUCUAUUACGCAUCGUAGGUUCCCGCCGGCGAGGAGGACCUGCUGACGCAUGUGCCAGUGAGAUGGAGCAGCCGGCACAGGUGCAGACUUAUGAACUGGAGGUCAUCCUGAUGCCAAUUUGAGUAAACCAUGUGUCAAUCUCGCCGUGGUCGAUCUAUUUUAGCUGUUCUUAUUGGGACUGUCCAGCAAUGUGAAGGAAGGAGCACUGGCAAGAAUCUUGCUAACACAGCCAGAUCCUUCAGAUAACCCAAUGCAAAGCACUAUUCAUAGCAAACCAUUGUAAGUCUGUGCCGCUGUCCGGCCUUCCUCAGUGCCAAGCAGCUCGCUUAUUAUCUGUACUACCCAGGGUUUUCUACACAUUCGUCCUCACCGAUGGAGUCUCCUGAAUCGCUGCCCUUACAUACUGAACUCUUCAGUGAGUUCCAUCACGGGACUGCUCAACUAGAAGCAUGGCAGAUCUGGUUUUUGAUGGAUACAGGAAGUAGCACGGGGAGAGGUAGCUGGAUCUGGUUUUCUCUGGCCGCUAGAAGCCAGACCUGAAUCAUGUCGUCAUCCUCUCCCUCCAAAAUGCCUAGCCAUCCCUCUUCAGUCUACAUCGCUAUCGCUCGCAUCCAUCCUUCUGCCUGUCAUGUUGAAAGAUACUAACAAUACAAAUUCUCCCUCAGCACUGAAGAAUCAGGGCACAAGGGAAUAUGAGCCAUAGGGUCAAGGAUCUACAGAAUACAGGGUCCUCUUUAUCAGGCAGAUAUGAAUGGGUGCAAUCUGUAUGAUAGAGCACUCUGAGGAACUUCAGAAUCUUGUUAAUGACGCUAUUGACAAAGGUGCCGAAAUUGCUGUCAGAGGGAGUUUUGGCAAUCUUGGUGAAGAUGCAGUUGAUCAAUUUUUCCCUCCAACUAUCCUGGUGAAUGUUAAUCACACAAUGAAAAUUAUGCAAGAAGAGGCAUUUGGACCAAUUCUACCAAUCAUAAAAUUCAGUUCUGACGAAGAGGCUAUUAAACUGGCAAAGGAUUCAAAAUUUGGUCUUUGUGGAUGACUCUGUCCUGUUGGUGUUUGCAGCUUGUGCUUGGGAACGUAGCUUUGAGAACCUUUUCUGGUUUACACCUGUUGCCUGGGCAUUGAAAUGAAAUUGAAAUUCUACUAACUAUGGUUGUGCAAGGAUGUGUCAUGUGCUGCUCUUGGACACCAUCGGUGUUGAGUGUCUGUGUGCGGUUGAUAAAUCUCAGCAGCUUCAUCGGCAUGUACAAAGUGUGGGGAAGAAAAGACCUUGUACUUUUGCUCCAAAAAAAAGAGCUUCCACAAGCUCCUUGUAUACUCAAAUAGUUUGUGCUCAUAAAUAAAAUCAAUAAAAAAAACUUCCACAGCUUCAUCGACA